Long non-coding RNA from Rattus norvegicus (Norway rat), 723 nucleotides. RefSeq lists it as uncharacterized. Lineage: Eukaryota; Metazoa; Chordata; Mammalia; Rodentia; Muridae. The record is from RefSeq and is a predicted model, not a curated record.
GCCAGAGCGCAUGCUCCACGUGUAGCCCCACCCCGAUGCUGCCUCCAGGUGUUCCAGGGACCGUUCAACCGGUCAGCUGUGCGGACCAGGAAGCUAGGUGCUAGGGAACGUUGGAAAGAACUGGGACUAGGUACUGGGUUGUGCGGGUUGGGUACCGUUCUCGGCGGCCCUCUUGAGGUUCUCGAUCAUGGUGUCGUAAUGGAUGCGGCAAAGCACCUUCUCCUCAACCAGGCCGAAUUCCUCGCCCGUGGAUAGCUGGCGCUUGCAGGAAAAGCAAGCGAAGCAGGCCAGGUGCACACACUGUUCAGGAAGCAGAGCCAUCACUCGCCCAACCCUCCAGCUUGGAUAUCGGAACCUUCAGCUCACAUCCAGCGAUGCCUCCAGCUAAUGAAGUGAACCUCUGGGACGCACUACAUCCCCCCUCACCUCUACUGCUGCCCAGCUAGGUUUGAUGAUUCCCACCAUCACCCCUCUCAUCACCCCUUCUUUCCAGGAUUAGCCUGUCAGUGCAUCGUCCACACUGCAGCUGGCAGCAAAAAUUUCACCAUGCACACAGAGUCCUAUCCCCUGAGCUCCUUACAGUCUUUGGUGGUACCACACUAUCCUUAGAGUCUAGUCCAGGAUGCUUUGGGUUUACAAACCCAACAGACCAUAUCCUUCGCUCUCCCAGUCUUCAGUGUCUCCCACCCCAUGCUCUACACCUAGUAGAGGGUACCAAGCCAC